GUCGGGGUGCUGUAGCCACGGGUUCCAUAUUGAAGUCCGUAAUCUGCUUACGAGUCUCGCGCGCUCGUUCGGGUGGGUCAUCUCAGGCCACGUCGCGCAGCCGUCCAGCUCGGUCUGGCCGCUCGCAGGUAGAGCUUCACUCUCACCGCUCCCGAUGAGAAGGAUUACUGUCGUUGUUGUGUUGGCCAGAACUGGUUCCCAGCCCCUGAGGUGUGUGUGAGGGGAGGAGGCCUCGCUCCUUGUGUUGUGCUGGAGGCCAUUCCGAUUCUGGGGUUCUAAGGAGCCGUGGAACCACAGAGGAAUGAUGUCAAGGCCCUGAUCCCUACAGUUCAGUAUGUCAGGAUUCACAACCCUCUUCCGCCUGGUUUCCUUCAGUGUGGAUGGAGUAUUGAAGGUCUAUUUCAGUGUGGAUGGAGUAUUGAAGUUCUAUUUUAGUGUGGAUGGAGUAUUGAAGUGUACAACUAUUUUUGUGAAUCGGUGAAGAGUGCGGCGUGGAAGCACUGCGUGAGUGAAGAGUGCGGCGUGGAAGCGCCAGCGAUGUGAUUGCUGGACCGCACUCUGGCUGAAGAUUUCAGCGCUCUAGAAAUGUAUCUGUAAUAAAAAACAAACAAAUUUGAACAAGUUUCAUGAACCUCUAGAAUGAAUGAAACCCUUUAGCUUAUAGCUUAUCAUUUGUGACCAGGCAUGAGAAAACCAGCCACAUGUCUCCCCAGAGACAUUUUGAGUUAUUCACGGAUUCUGUGUAGUUUCAAAGCUAUCCAAUGAUGUCUCACUCAUGGAGAUCUGAUAAUAUUUGAAUAAGUUGUGAAGUUACUGAGAAAACUGGCCUAAUAGAUUUGCAAAUUCUGGUAAUUCUGACAUCUGGUAUCUGUAGCCCUUCCCCCUAUAGGUGUCGCUGUGACACCUGGAUCUGCUAGCCUGCAGGGCAGAAAGAAUUGUAGUGUUGUUAAUAUUGAUGUAGUGUUAUUUUCAUUAGGCACUUCACUGGUACUUUAUUGAAAUGGAAAUGCUUUUGUUACAAAAGGCCCUGAAUAGCAUGCAUUAAUACACAGGGUAAGAUGUUACAAUACCAUAAUCCAAGGUAUAAACCACAUCUAGUUCCCAAUAGAAGACCCAAUAACAUACACAUACAACAAGCAGGAUUUCAAAAUGGAAGUCAAUAUGAAUCCAAUAGAAAAAUAAGAAUAAAGAUCCUAUACACUAGACAAUAAGAAUAAAGAUACUAUGAAAAAGAUACUAAAUAACAAACAAGGUCCACAUCAAUGUGCUGAGGCUGUGUGAUAAGGGUGACAGGGCAGGGACUGACCCUGUGGUACAGGAGAGUUCAGGUAUUAUUUGGUAAAGUGCAAAAAAGUAAAGCAAGACAGUGCAGUUUUAAGUCAGGAGACUUUGGAGGCAACACAAUAAGUCAGAACUAGAGUUAAGUGAAUUUAGUCCAGGCUGUUGGAGGGAGGGAGAGGCUGUGCAUAAAGGCUAUCAUAGCAAGGAAAGACUGUCAACAGGGGGCAGAACCGCUGAAUUGCGCAGUAACUGAAAUUCCACAGGAUCUGCAUCACAGUGACUUUUUGCAAGCACCACACUUGGGGGUAUUCCAUCAACCUCGCUAAUGAAGGCGGCGCUUAACAGAAAUAGCCUGGCUUGAACUAGCGUAGACUUUCACUUGGGGCUGAAGCUGUUCCGUUAACUCAAGUUAGCGGCAUCUUGGCCUCGUUUAUUCAAGCGAGGUUUAAGUCAGCUUCAUCUCGGCUCGUGCACGAGGUAGAACAGUAGACCAAAACAGUAGAUUGACGAAAAGAGGAUAUAUGUUGUAAAAUUAAGACAAUACUAGACGAUUUCUGUUCGAUUUGGCAAGCGACAUCUACAGGAUUUUCAUCGAAAGUCAUCAAAUUUAACAUCGAGAGAAAAAAUAGAUUGCCUACAGAAAUUGGAGAAUAAUGAAAGCAUACAUUUAAAACA
Molecule: long non-coding RNA, 1956 nt
Organism: Alosa alosa (allis shad)
Lineage: Eukaryota; Metazoa; Chordata; Actinopteri; Clupeiformes; Clupeidae
Exons: 4
Source: RefSeq, a predicted model, not a curated record